RNAcentral lists this ribosomal RNA (636 nucleotides) under uncultured Thiobacillus sp. RNAcentral describes it as "bacterial SSU rRNA". It matches the Rfam family "Bacterial small subunit ribosomal RNA", at positions 9 to 638 of the family's 1533-position model. The record is from RNAcentral. Lineage: Bacteria; Pseudomonadati; Pseudomonadota; Betaproteobacteria; Nitrosomonadales; Thiobacillaceae.
GAGUUUGAUCAUGGCUCAGAUUGAACGCUGGCGGAAUGCUUUACACAUGCAAGUCGAACGGCAGCACGGGAGCUUGCUCCUGGUGGCGAGUGGCGAACGGGUGAGUAAUGCGUCGGAACGUACCGAGUAAUGGGGGAUAACGCACCGAAAGGUGUGCUAAUACCGCAUACGCCCUGAGGGGGAAAGCAGGGGAUCGUAAGACCUUGCGUUAUCCGAGCGGCCGACGUCUGAUUAGCUAGUUGGUGGGGUAAAGGCCUACCAAGGCGACGAUCAGUAGCGGGUCUGAGAGGAUGAUCCGCCACACUGGAACUGAGACACGGUCCAGACUCCUACGGGAGGCAGCAGUGGGGAAUUUUGGACAAUGGGGGCAACCCUGAUCCAGCCAUUCCGCGUGAGUGAAGAAGGCCUUCGGGUUGUAAAGCUCUUUCAGCUGGAACGAAACGGUACGCUCUAACAUAGCGUGCUAAUGACGGUACCAGCAGAAGAAGCACCGGCUAACUACGUGCCAGCAGCCGCGGUAAUACGUAGGGUGCGAGCGUUAAUCGGAAUUACUGGGCGUAAAGCGUCCGCAGGUGGUUUUUCAAGUCUGCUGUUAAAGCGCAGAGCUUAACUCUGUAACGGCGGUGGAAACUGAGA